AGAUUGAUCAUGGCUAGGGAUGAACGCUAGCUACAGGCUUAACACAUGCAAGUCGAGGGGCAGCAUAACGAAAGCUUGCUUUUGUUGAUGGCGACCGGCGCACGGGUGAGUAACGCGUAUCCAACCUUCCCUAUACUAGAGGAUAGCCCGGCGAAAGUCGGAUUAAUACUCUAUGUUGUAUUUCGAGGACAUCUGAAUAAUACCAAAGGUUUACCGGUAUAGGAUGGGGAUGCGUCUGAUUAGGUUGUUGGCGGGGUAACGGCCCACCAAGCCCACGAUCAGUAGGGGUUCUGAGAGGAAGGUCCCCCACAUUGGAACUGAGACACGGUCCAAACUCCUACGGGAGGCAGCAGUGAGGAAUAUUGGUCAAUGGACGAGAGUCUGAACCAGCCAAGUAGCGUGCAGGAUGACGGCCCUAUGGGUUGUAAACUGCUUUUAUACAGGGAUAAAGUGACGUACGUGUACGUUUUUGUAGGUACUGUAUGAAUAAGGACCGGCUAAUUCCGUGCCAGCAGCCGCGGUAAUACGGAAGGUCCGGGCGUUAUCCGGAUUUAUUGGGUUUAAAGGGAGCGCAGGCUGAUGAUUAAGCGUGACGUGAAAUGUAGCCGCUCAACGGCUGAACUGCGUCGCGAACUGGUUAUCUUGAGUGAGUUCGAUGUUGGCGGAAUUCGUGGGUGUAGCGGUGAAAUGCUUAGAUAUCACGAAGAACUCCGAUUGCGAACGCAGCCA
RNAcentral lists this ribosomal RNA (729 nucleotides) under uncultured Prevotella sp. RNAcentral's name for it is "bacterial SSU rRNA". It matches the Rfam family "Bacterial small subunit ribosomal RNA", at positions 10 to 727 of the family's 1533-position model. The record is from RNAcentral. Lineage: Bacteria; Pseudomonadati; Bacteroidota; Bacteroidia; Bacteroidales; Prevotellaceae.